GGGGGCGCAACGGUUUCGACGGGAUUGGAUCGUUGUGUGAAGGCGUGUCGGGUUCCGAGCUCCCGUAAAACGAUCGGAAAACAACAACUGCCAAUAACAAUCAGCAGUUUGCUUACGCUGCUUAAGUAAUUAAGUAGCCGCUCUUGGUUAACGAGCCUGCGCGUUGGCCACCGAGCGUCACUUUGCAGGAUAGGUACCUGGCUUCUGUCCGUAGCCGUGGGCCGAGAUUAAUCGGGCUCGGCGACUCUCGCUUUUGCCGGUUCUUUAGAGAGUUGCUUAAAAAAUAGGAUCGGAUACACACGUAGUCUUUGCACGUCGGGCUUUUUCGGACGCGGGUUCAACUCCCGCCGCCUCCACCA
This 359-nucleotide transfer-messenger RNA is filed under the name Acidobacteriota bacterium. It matches the Rfam family "transfer-messenger RNA". From Rfam's summary of the family: Bacterial tmRNA, also known as 10Sa RNA or SsrA, is named for its dual tRNA and mRNA-like properties. Its role is to liberate the mRNA from a stalled ribosome. To accomplish this part of the tmRNA is used as a reading frame that ends in a translation stop signal. The record is from RNAcentral. Lineage: Bacteria; Pseudomonadati; Acidobacteriota.